UCUCAUAAAACAUACUCUUACGGUCCUGCUACACAGACAUGAAGAGGAUUACCUUGAAUUCAACAGUCUAAAAAUAACCCUUUUUAUGGUUUCUUGUAUGCAUCAUCUUCUUCGUCACUAAUUUCCUUGUUGAAUACUGAUUGUCUUCCAAUUUAAAGAUGAUUAACGGUUCUCCUUUCUUCCAAGACUCCAACUACUACAGGUGAACAUAUUUUAGCGCAAGUCAUCAAUUACAAUUGCCAAUAGAUAAAGAUGGAUGGCGAUUUAAUAGAAAAAGAAAUAACAUACUACUAAAAGAAUGAAACUUGGCCCACGCCUCCUAUUUGUUCAGGGCUAUUCCGGUUAUUCCUUUCCGGCGGGUGAUUUAUUCAUGAAUUCCUCUCUCACUCAUGAUGAAAGCUAAGAGCUUGCUCAACCUGCUCAUGGCUAGAUCGAUCGGUUUCGGAAGCCUAAGCCAAGAAGGUACGAACGAAGUGACGGGCCCCUUUAGAAGAUAGGGGACGGCAUCCAAAAAUUCGAGAAGAGUGCUCGGACUUGUUUUCCCCCUCUUUCCUAUUCAAGAGUUCUCCUUUUAGGGGAUCUGGUCGAAAAAUC
This 594-nucleotide long non-coding RNA is filed under the name Nicotiana tabacum (common tobacco). RNAcentral describes it as "long non-coding RNA (NTAB_LNC016439)". The record is from RNAcentral. Lineage: Eukaryota; Viridiplantae; Streptophyta; Magnoliopsida; Solanales; Solanaceae.